GUUGAAGUAGCCUAGUGGUUAAGGUGAUGCACUGCAUGCUGCGUAACCAGAGUUCAAAUCCCUGUACAGCA
Molecule: non-coding RNA, 71 nt
Organism: Gymnothorax javanicus (giant moray)
Lineage: Eukaryota; Metazoa; Chordata; Actinopteri; Anguilliformes; Muraenidae
Source: the annotation of a GenBank genome assembly